CGCAGAGAGUCAAGCGCUCUCUGGACGCAAAAAAAAAAAAAAAAAAAAAAAAAAAAAA
RNAcentral lists this non-coding RNA (58 nucleotides) under Alexandrium minutum. Lineage: Eukaryota; Dinophyceae; Gonyaulacales; Pyrocystaceae. The record is from RNAcentral.